UACGUAGGGGCUAGCGUUAUCCGGAAUUACUGGGCGUAAAGUGUGCGUAGGUGGUUUCUUAAGUCAGAGGUGAAAGGCUACGGCUCAACCGUAGUAAGCCUUUGAAACUGAGAAACUUGAGUGCAGGAGAGGAGAGUAGAAUUCCUAGUGUAGCGGUGAAAUGCGUAGAUAUUAGGAGGAAUACCAGUUGCGAAGGCGGCUCUCUGGACUGUAACUGACACUGAGGCACGAAACCGUGGGGAGCAAACAGGAUUAGAUACCCUGGUAGUCCCUGA
RNAcentral lists this ribosomal RNA (275 nucleotides) under uncultured prokaryote. RNAcentral's name for it is "partial 16S ribosomal RNA". It matches the Rfam family "Bacterial small subunit ribosomal RNA", at positions 524 to 800 of the family's 1533-position model. The record is from RNAcentral.